This 1246-nucleotide ribosomal RNA is filed under the name Acantholachesilla sp. AcspLA. RNAcentral's name for it is "16S ribosomal RNA". The record is from RNAcentral. Lineage: Eukaryota; Metazoa; Arthropoda; Insecta; Psocodea; Lachesillidae.
AAAUGAUACUUUUUGUUUUUUUGAAUUUUUUUAUUAUUAAUAUUUAAUAUAUUUUGAUUAAAUAAAGUAUUAUUAUUUAAAGUAUUUAAAGAAUUAUUUUGAUUUAUUAAAGUAAAAUGUAUAAAAAUAGAAUUAUAAUUAAAUUAAUAUAAUAAAAAAUUAUUUUUGUACCUUUUGUAUCAGGGUUUAAUAAAAAAAUUUUAAAUAAAUUUUUCUCGAAUAUUUAAGAUUUAAUUUUUUAUAAUUUUAAAUGUUGAAAAAUUUAAUUUAAUAAAAAAUUGGUAAUGAAAAGUUAAUUCGUUUAAAUAGGAUUCUAGUUUUUAAAUAAAUUAAUUUAAUUAAGCUAUAAAUAAUUAUUAUAAUUUUAUUAUAUUUAUUUAUUUAUAUGUAAAUUGUAAAGAGUUUAUUUUUUACAAUUUUUAUAUUUAAUAAAAUAUCUAAUUUUUUCUAAAUUUAAUAUUUAUAAUGAUUAAUAGUUUUUAAAAAAAAAUAAUUAGUAAAAUUUUAUUUAUUUUUUAUUAAAUUUUUAUUUAAAUGAAAAUUUUAAUUAAUUAAAUUAUUUAAUAAUAUUAAAAUUAGUAAAUUUAAAAAUUUAAAAAUAGUAAUUCAGCAAAUUUAUUUUUCGCCUGUUUACCAAAAACAUGUCUUUAAGAUUAUAUUUAAAGUCCAAUCUGCUCACUGAUUAAUUUUAAAGAGCCGCAGUAUUUUAACUGUGCAAAGGUAGCAUAAUAAAUAGUUUUUUAAUUGAAAGCUGGAAUGAAAGAUUAGACGAGAAAAUGACUUUCUUUUUUUAAGUAGAUUGAAAUUAAAAUUUAAGUUAAAAUUCUUAAAUUGUUUUAAAAGACGAGAAGACCCUAUAGAUUUUUAUUUAAUAAUUAAUUAUUAGAAAAUUAAUAAUUUUUAUUAAAUUUAAUUGGGGCGAUUAUGUAAAAUAACUAACUUAAUAUUUUUAAAACAUAAAUAAUUGAAUAUUUUGAUCUAAAAAUUUUAAUUUAUAGAUUAAAUUACCUUAGGGAUAACAGCGUAAUUUUAUUUAAGAGCUCGUAUCUAUAAUAAAGUUUGCGACCUCGAUGUUGAAUUAAGAAAAAUAUAUGAGUAGAAACUUAUAAUUUUUAGUCUGUUCGACUAUUAAAUUCUUACAUGAUUUGAGUUCAGACCGGCGUGAGCCAGGUCAGUUUCUAUCUUUAAAAUAUUUUUAUAAAUAAGUACGAAAGGACAAUUUAUAAAUAAAAUUUUAUUACAAAUU